This 446-nucleotide ribosomal RNA is filed under the name uncultured bacterium. Its description in RNAcentral is "partial 16S ribosomal RNA". It matches the Rfam family "Bacterial small subunit ribosomal RNA", at positions 338 to 795 of the family's 1533-position model. The record is from RNAcentral.
CCUACGGGUGGCAGCAGUCGAGAAUCAUUCACAAUGGGGGAAACCCUGAUGGUGCGACGCCGCGUGGGGGAAUGAAGGUCUUCGGAUUGUAAACCCCUGUCAUGUGGGAGCAAAUUAAAAAGAUAGUACCACAAGAGAAAGAGACGGCUAACUCUGUGCCAGCAGCCGCGGUAAUACAGAGGUCUCAAGUGUUGUUCGGAAUCACUGGGCGUAAAGCGUGCGUAGGCUGUUUCGUAAGUCGUGUGUGAAAGGCGCGGGCUCAACCCGCGGACGGCACAUGAUACUGCGAGACUAGAGUAAUGGAGGGGGAACCGGAAGUCUCGGUGUAGCAGUGAAAUGCGUAGAUAUCGAGAGGAACACUCGUGGCGAAGGCGGGUUACUGGACAUUAACUGACGCUGAGGCACGAAGGCCAGGGGAGCGAAAGGGAUUAGAUAACCCAGUAGUC